This 765-nucleotide ribosomal RNA is filed under the name uncultured fungus. Its description in RNAcentral is "SSU rRNA". It matches the Rfam family "Eukaryotic small subunit ribosomal RNA", at positions 800 to 1590 of the family's 1831-position model. The record is from RNAcentral. Lineage: Eukaryota; Fungi.
GAUUUUAGCAUGGAAUAAUAGAAUAGGACGUGUGGUUCUAUUUUGUUGGUUUAUAGGACCGCCGUAAUGAUUAAUAGGGACAGUCGGGGGCAUCAGUAUUCAAAUGUCAGAGGUGAAAUUCUUGGAUCAUUUGAAGACUAACUACUGCGAAAGCAUUUGUCAAGGAUGUUUUCAUUAAUCAGGAACGAAAGUUAGGGGAUCGAAGACGAUCAGAUACCGUCGUAGUCUUAACCAUAAACUAUGCCGACUAGGGAUCGGACGGCGUUAUUCAUGACCCGUUCGGCACCUUACGAGAAAUCAAAGUGCUUGGGCUCCAGGGGGAGUAUGGUCGCAAGGCUGAAACUUAAAGAAAUUGACGGAAGGGCACCACCAGGGGUGGAGCCUGCGGCUUAAUUUGACUCAACACGGGGAAACUCACCAGGUCCAGACACAAUAAGGAUUGACAGAUUGAGAGCUCUUUCUUGAUUCUGUGGGUGGUGGUGCAUGGCCGUUCUUAGUUGGUGGAGUGAUUUGUCUGCUUAAUUGCGAUAACGAACGAGACCUUAACCUGCUAAAUAGCCCGUACUGCUUUGGCAGUUCGCCGGCUUCUUAGAGGGACUAUCGGCUCAAGCCGAUGGAAGUUUGAGGCAAUAACAGGUCUGUGAUGCCCUUAGAUGUCCUGGGCCGCACGCGCGUUACACUGACAGAGCCAGCGAGUAUUUCCUUGACCGGAAGGUCCGGGUAAUCUUGUUGAACUCUGUCGUGCUGGGGAUAGAGCAUUGCAAU